Molecule: ribosomal RNA, 491 nt
Filed under: uncultured bacterium
Lineage: Bacteria
Description: bacterial SSU rRNA
Rfam family: Bacterial small subunit ribosomal RNA
Source: RNAcentral
GACGAACGCUGGCGGCGUGCUUAACACAUGCAAGUCGAACGGAAAGGCCCUGCUUGCAGGGUACUCGAGUGGCGAACGGGUGAGUAACACGUGGGUGAUCUGCCUCGUACUUCGGGAUAAGCUUGGGAAACUGGGUCUAAUACCGGAUAUAACCUUCCUUUAGUGUGGGGGGUGGAAAGUUUUUCGGUACGAGAUGAGCCCGCGGCCUAUCAGCUUGUUGGUGGGGUAAUGGCCUACCAAGGCGUCGACGGGUAGCCGGCCUGAGAGGGUGGACGGCCACAUUGGGACUGAGAUACGGCCCAGACUCCUACGGGAGGCAGCAGUGGGGAAUAUUGCACAAUGGGCGCAAGCCUGAUGCAGCGACGCCGCGUGGGGGAUGACGGCCUUCGGGUUGUAAACCUCUUUCGCUAGGGACGAAGCCAUCCUUUGGGGGUGGUGACGGUACCUGGAUAAGAAGCACCGGCUAACUACGUGCCAGCAGCCGCGGUAAU